GACGAACGCUGGCGGCGUGCUUAACACAUGCAAGUCGAACGGAAAGGCCCUGCUUUUGUUGGGUGCUCGAGUGGCGAACGGGUGAGUAACACGUGAGUAACCUGCCCUUGACUUUGGGAUAACUUCAGGAAACUGGGGCUAAUACCGGAUAGGAGCUCCUGCUGCAUGGUGGGGGUUGGAAAGUUUCGGCGGUUGGGGAUGGACUCGCGGCUUAUCAGCUUGUUGGUGGGGUAGUGGCUUACCAAGGCUUUGACGGGUAGCCGGCCUGAGAGGGUGACCGGCCACAUUGGGACUGAGAUACGGCGCAGACUCCUACGGGAGGCAGCAGUGGGGAAUCUUGCACAAUGGGCCGAAGCCUGAUGCAGCAACGCCGCGUGCGGGAUGCCGGCCUUCGGGUUGUAAACCGCUUUCGCCUGUGACGAAGCGUGAGUGACGGUAAUGGGUAAAGAAGCACCGGCUAACUACGUG
Molecule: ribosomal RNA, 468 nt
Filed under: uncultured bacterium
Lineage: Bacteria
Description: partial 16S ribosomal RNA
Rfam family: Bacterial small subunit ribosomal RNA
Source: RNAcentral